GUGCAUAACACAUGCAAGUCGAACGGUAGUAUUAUCUUCGGAUAAUAUGAGAGUGGCGAACGGGUGAGUAACACGUAAGAAUCUACCUUUAGGACGGGGAUAACUUCUGGAAACGGAUGCUAAUACCCGAUAUGCUGUGGAGUGAAAUGAAUUUCGCCUAAAGAUGAUCUUGCGUCUGAUUAGCUAGAUAGGGUGGUAAUGGCGCCCUAUGGCGACGAUCAGUAGCUGGUCUGAGAGGAUGGACAGCCACAUUGGGACUGAGACACGGCCCAAACUCCUACGGGAGGCAGCAGUGGGGAAUUUUCCGCAAUGGGCGAAAGCCUGACGGAGCGACGCUGCGUGAAGGAUGACGGCCUGAGGGUUGUAAACUUCUUUUCUCGAAGAAGAAUCAAUGACGGUAUUCGAGGAAUAAGCAUCGGCUAACUCUGUGCCAGCAGCCGCGGUAAGACAGAGGAUGCAAGUGUUAUUCGGAUUGAUUGGGCGUAAAGCGUCUGUAGGCGGUUUAGAAAGUCUUUUG
RNAcentral lists this ribosomal RNA (517 nucleotides) under uncultured bacterium. RNAcentral describes it as "bacterial SSU rRNA". It matches the Rfam family "Bacterial small subunit ribosomal RNA", at positions 44 to 594 of the family's 1533-position model. The record is from RNAcentral.